GCCAGGAAUGGUAGUACACGCCUGUAAUCCCUGCUACUGGGAAGGCGGAGGGGGAGGAUCUCUUGCGCUCAGGAGUUCUGAGUAACACUGGACUAAGCUCAUUGAGUGUCCAUACUAAGUUUGGCCUUAAUAGGGUGGGUCUCCAGAAAUAGGGUGUCUACCAGGUUGCCUAAGGAUGGUGAACUAGCCCAGGUCAGAGCUGGAGAAGAUCAAAGUUGCUGUGCCACUCAGAGUGGGAUUGGGCUGAUGAACAGCCCCUAAACUGGUAGCCUGGAGAGAUAUGGAAAUGAAGCUUU
This is an unclassified non-coding RNA of Vombatus ursinus (common wombat), 296 nucleotides long. It matches the Rfam family "Metazoan signal recognition particle RNA". From Rfam's summary of the family: The signal recognition particle (SRP) is a universally conserved ribonucleoprotein. It is involved in the co-translational targeting of proteins to membranes. The record is from Ensembl. NCBI's taxonomy places the organism in Eukaryota, Metazoa, Chordata, Mammalia, Diprotodontia, Vombatidae.